RNAcentral lists this ribosomal RNA (465 nucleotides) under uncultured bacterium. RNAcentral describes it as "partial 16S ribosomal RNA". It matches the Rfam family "Bacterial small subunit ribosomal RNA", at positions 28 to 507 of the family's 1533-position model. The record is from RNAcentral.
GACGAACGCUGGCGGCGUGCUUAACACAUGCAAGUCGAACGGAAAGGCCCCUUUGGGGGUACUCGCGUGGCGAACGGGUGAGUAACACGUGAGUAACCUGCCCUUGACUUCGUGAUAACUUCAUGCAACUGGGGCUAAUACCUGAUAGGAAUCCUUGCCGCAUGGUGGGGGUUGGAAAGCUUCGGCGGGUUGGGGUGGACUCGCGGCCUUUCAGCCUGUUGGUUGGGUAGUGGGUUACCAAGGCUUUGACCGGUGGCCGGCCUGGCGGGGGGACCGGCCAAAUUUGGAAUGGGGAUCGGCCCAGGCUCCCACGGGGGGCAGGAGUGGGGGAUAUUGGCCCAUGGGGGGGAGCCCGAUGCAGCAACGCCGCGUGCGGGAUGACGGGCUUCGGGUUUGAAACCGCUUUCAGCAGGGGCGAAGCUUGUGGUGACGGUACCUGCAGAAGAAGCACCGGCUAACUACGUG